GUGCUCACUUUGGUAGCACACAGACUAAAAAUCGAAACAAUACAAAGAAGAUUUGCACAGUCCUCAUCUGCAGAUGGACGACAUGCAAAUUCAUGAAGCAUCUCGUAUUUUU
This 112-nucleotide small nuclear RNA is filed under the name Chinchilla lanigera (long-tailed chinchilla). The record is from RNAcentral. Lineage: Eukaryota; Metazoa; Chordata; Mammalia; Rodentia; Chinchillidae.